RNAcentral lists this ribosomal RNA (437 nucleotides) under uncultured Clostridium sp. Its description in RNAcentral is "partial 16S ribosomal RNA". It matches the Rfam family "Bacterial small subunit ribosomal RNA", at positions 341 to 792 of the family's 1533-position model. The record is from RNAcentral. Lineage: Bacteria; Bacillati; Bacillota; Clostridia; Eubacteriales; Clostridiaceae.
ACGGAAGGCAGCAGUGGGGGAUAUUGCACAAUGGGGGAAACUCUGAUGCAGCAAUGCCGCGUGAGGGAAGACGGUCUUCGGAUUGUAAACCUAAGUAGUCAGGGAUGAAGAAAGUGACGUUACCUGAAGAGUAAGCUCCGGCUAACUACGUGCCAGCAGCCGCGGUAAUACGUAGGGAGCGAGCGUUGUCCGGAUUUACUGGGUGUAAAGGGUGCGUAGGCGGGCUUGCAAGUCAGGCGUGAAAUACCGGGGCUUAACUCCGGGGCUGCGCUUGAAACUGUAAGUCUUGAGUGAAGUAGAGGCAGGCGGAAUUCCCAGUGUAGCGGUGAAAUGCGUAGAUAUUGGGAGGAACACCAGUGGCGAAGGCGGCCUGCUGGGCUUUAACUGACGCUGAGGCACGAAAGUAUGGGGAGCAAACAGGAUUAGAUACCCUGGUA